This 460-nucleotide ribosomal RNA is filed under the name uncultured bacterium. RNAcentral describes it as "partial 16S ribosomal RNA". It matches the Rfam family "Bacterial small subunit ribosomal RNA", at positions 338 to 795 of the family's 1533-position model. The record is from RNAcentral.
CCUACGGGAGGCAGCAGUGAGGAAUAUUGGUCAAUGCACGAGAGUCUGAACCAGCCAAGUAGCGUGAAGGAUGACUGCCCUAUGGGUUGUAAACUUCUUUUAUAUGGGAAUAAAAUGUUCCACGUGUGGGAUUUUGUAUGUACCAUAUGAAUAAGGAUCGGCUAACUCCGUGCCAGCAGCCGCGGUAAUACGGAGGAUCCGAGCGUUAUCCGGAUUUAUUGGGUUUAAAGGGAGCGUAGGUGGAUUGUUAAGUCAGUUGUGAAAGUUUGCGGCUCAACCGUAAAAUUGCAGUUGAAACUGGCAGUCUUGAGUACAGUAGAGGUGGGCGGAAUUCGUGGUGUAGCGGUGAAAUGCUUAGAUAUCACGAAGAACUCCGAUUGCGAAGGCAGUUCACUGGACUGCAACUGACACUGAGGCUCGAAAGUGUGGGUAUCAAACAGGAUUAGAUACCCGUGUAGUC